UCUUUAAUGGAGAGUUUGAUCCUGGCUCAGGACGAACGCUGGCGGCGUGCCUAAUACAUGCAAGUCGAGCGGGGUUAGUUAGAAGCUUGCUUCUAACUAACCUAGCGGCGGACGGGUGAGUAACACGUAGGCAACCUGCCCACAAGACAGGGAUAACUACCGGAAACGGUAGCUAAUACCCGAUACAUCCUUU
RNAcentral lists this ribosomal RNA (193 nucleotides) under Paenibacillus sp. ICGEB2008. RNAcentral describes it as "partial 16S ribosomal RNA". It matches the Rfam family "Bacterial small subunit ribosomal RNA", at positions 1 to 183 of the family's 1533-position model. The record is from RNAcentral. Lineage: Bacteria; Bacillati; Bacillota; Bacilli; Caryophanales; Paenibacillaceae.